ACAAACAAUGGUCACCAAGUCCGGGAACAGGUUGUAUGAGUCACUUGAGGCAUUUAUCCCGCCCUGUUUCAGAGAAAUCUCUAUUUCAAACUAUUCCUAUGUGUUAUUUAUUGAAAAACAACAGACAAUCGCAAAAACAAGUUGACCUUUUUGUGUUCCUUGAGCCCAGUCACAAAGGGCCCUCAUGACUGGGCCUCAUGCCAAACAACGUGUUACAAAGAGAGCUAGGGUCCCAGACUGCGCCAAAGCUUCAUGAGACUCUCCUCAUCGUGCACGGACUGGUGGCCGACUCUGGAGCCCAGGUUGUUGCUUCCUGGUCUGGUGAUGAAUCCUCCAUAGUCUGCUACUUGUACUGAAGAAUCGAGCCUGUGGGCAUUUUGAGCUGAAGGCAACUGAAAAAAAGCAGACGAGUUAAGGGGUCUCCAGUCAACUCUCGUGAGGAGACACGUCCGACUGCCUUGUUUAGACGGCCUCAGGGUGAGGGAUCAGGACCCACCCAGUGCAACAAAUAAACCCGGAGUCUCAGCAACGUGAGGAGAAAAAGGCUUGCAACACCAUGGCGACCAGAUAACUCCGUGCACAGACUAAGGUCUCCUAACACAGGCACUGCCCCUGGAGUUCUCAGUACAUCAACAUCAGCCUGGGGAUCAUGUCCUCAUCAAAAGCUGGAAAGAGGAGAAACUCGAACCAGCCUGGGAAGGACCUUACCUGCUGCUUCUAACCACUGAAACCGCAGUCCAGAGAGCAGAAAAAGGAUGGACCCAUCACACCUGAGUCAAGAAAGCACCACCACCUCUGGAGUCAGGAGCCGUUAUCCCAGGGGAAAACCCUACCAAACUAAUGCUAAGAAAAGUUUAACUCUCUUUCAUCUAUUCUACUACUCCUUCUUCUUUCCUCAUUCUAUGGCUGACCACCUCAUUAUUAAUGUAACCACGUCAAGCUCACCCCAAACUAUUACCUUUGAUGCAUGUCUUGUUAUACCCUGUGGAGAUCUCCAAAGUCAAAAGCAACACUCAGCCUCAGAGAAAUAUCUCUGCCCCUUUAAGAUAAAAGGCUCCCCCUAUCAAGACCCUUGUUCCUUAACGAAUGCAGGAAAACAGGUCUGCCAUAGCUGGAAUGAUGUUAUGUGGACAACUGACUAUCAAGGCUGGACCUCAUCAACAGGUGGUUGUGUGUCCUUAAAACCAUACAUUUGCUUCACUAAAGGAAGUACCUCCCACAACUGCCAGUAUAACCAAUGUAAUUCUCAUUGGUUUCUAUUCUCAUUCCCACUUCUACUGACCCUAAACCUACUUUAAGUUGCUUAUAUGGCAUGGGAGCCAAAAUAGCAGGGACACAUCUUAUUGGAUCUUUUGAGAUAUGUUUUAUUAUUCAUUCACCUCCUACAUCUCCUUCUACACUAUCCCCCAAUGUUCUGUUCUUCCUCCACCCAAAGAUAAAACCAAAAUAGAUAUUGUAGAAGUAAAUGACCUAAAACAAACUUUAGCAAUUGAAACAGGAUAUCAAGAUGCAAAUGCCUGAUGGAAUGGAUUAAAUAUUCCGUACACACUUUAAACAAAAGCAAUUGUUAUGCUUGUGCGCACAGCAGGCCAGAGGCCCAGAUUGUCCUCUUUCUACUCAGAUGGUCCUCCAGUCGACCAAGCAUAGGCUGUAUGGUAGCUCUCUUCCAGGAUUCUACAGUUUGGGGCAAUAAAUCAUGCCAAGCUGUCUCUCUGCUCUAUCCUGAAGUUCAACACCCUGCGGGUCAGCCCCCAAGGGUCAUCCAGCUUCCGUCUCCCAAUGUCAGUUUCACCUCAUGUCUUUAAUGACAAGGGAGAACUUGGCAUUCCUUGGAAGUUUAACAGGAUGUAGUGAGCUUAAGCCAUUCCAAGAGCUUACCCAUCAGUCUGCCCUUAGUCAUCCUUGAGCGGAUGUAUGGUGGUAUUGUGAUGGACCCUUACUGGAUACUCUGCCAAGUAACUGGAGUGGUACUCAUGCUCUUGUACAAUUGGCUGUCCCUUUCGCCCUUUCAUUUCUUCAACCAGAAAAAGCCACACCACCAUAAAAUAAGAGAAGCCCCUUAGGGGUCUUUUGACUCUCAAGUUUAUUUAGACACAGUUGGAGUCCCACAGGAGUACUAGACAAAUUCAAAGCUCAAGACCAGAUAGCUGCAGGAUUUGAAUCAGUACUUUGGUGGGUAACUAUCAAUAAAAAUAUAGAUUGGAUAAAUUACAUCUUUUAUAACCAGCAGCAGUUUAUUAACUACACUAGAGAUGCUGUCAAAGGAAUAGCCGAACAGUUAGGGCCUACUAGCCAGAUGGCUUGGGAAAACAGAAUGGCCCUAGACAUGAUAUUAGCCAAAAAAGGUGGAGUUUGUGUUAUGAUCAAAACUCAGUGUUGUACCUUCAUCCCAAACAAUACUGCCCCCAGUGGGAGCAUACCAAGGGCCUUAAAAGGCCUUACUGCUUUAUCCAGUGAAUUAGCUAAACAUUCUGGAGCCAAUGACCCUUUUUCAGGAUGGCUAGAAAGGUGGUUUGGUAAAUGGAAAGGAAUCACAGACUCAAUUCUUACUUCUCUUGCAGCCAUAAUAGGUGUACUCAUUCUUGUUGGGUGUUGUGUCAUACCAUGUAUCCGUGGGCUAGUACAGAGGCUUAUAGAAACAGCACGUACUAUAACCUCCCUUAGCUUUCCUCCACCUUAUUCAGAUAAGCUUUUCCUUUCAGAGGGUCAAGUCGAACAGCAAAGCCAAGACAUGUUAAAAAGGUUUGAAGAGGAGGGACUAUAAAAAUUGAAAGGGGAAAAUUAUAAGAUAUGGUAAAUUCCUCUUCAAAGAUUUAGUCUGUUAACUUCCUUAUUCUUUGUUCUCAAACUCACCUUCCUUGUUCUCCACGCUUCCUUGUCCCUAGUUACUGUGAACAACCUUCCCGCCAGUUCUAAUCAAUAACUCACAUCUGUUCCCUUGGUUACCCACUCUGCACCCAUUCUUCCCACAGAAACUGCAUGUCCCACCACUGUAACUCACAUCCCCCUUCCCUUCCUUAUUUGUAAAAGUCUUCACAAAUGGCCAAUCGGGUCAACUUAGAAUGUGUGGUCUGACCCCAGUCCUGGGGGAGUGACACAGAGGUAGAGACUGUGUUAGGGAUAAAAACAUUUUCCCUCCUUUGUUCAGUGUGCUGCUGUGAUCUUGAUUGAUGCAAGAAGCACCCUUCUGCAGAAGUAAAUUGCCUUGCUGAGAAAA
Long non-coding RNA from Chlorocebus sabaeus (green monkey), 3217 nucleotides. RefSeq lists it as uncharacterized. Lineage: Eukaryota; Metazoa; Chordata; Mammalia; Primates; Cercopithecidae. The record is from RefSeq and is a predicted model, not a curated record.